This 273-nucleotide ribosomal RNA is filed under the name uncultured bacterium. RNAcentral describes it as "partial 16S ribosomal RNA". It matches the Rfam family "Bacterial small subunit ribosomal RNA", at positions 355 to 618 of the family's 1533-position model. The record is from RNAcentral.
UAGGGAAUCUUCCGGCAAUGGACGAAAGUCUGACCGAGCAACGCCGCGUGAGUGAAGAAGGUUUUCGGAUCGUAAAACUCUGUUGGUAGAGAAGAACGUUGGUGAGAGUGGAAAGCUCAUCAAGUGACGGUAACUACCCAGAAAGGGACGGCUAACUACGUGCCAGCAGCCGCGGUAAUACGUAGGUCCCGAGCGUUGUCCGGAUUUAUUGGGCGUAAAGCGAGCGCAGGUGGUUUAUUAAGUCUGGUGUAAAAGGCAGUGGCUCAACCAUUG